This 1287-nucleotide long non-coding RNA is filed under the name Pan troglodytes (chimpanzee). RNAcentral describes it as "long non-coding RNA NONPTRT014201". The record is from RNAcentral. Lineage: Eukaryota; Metazoa; Chordata; Mammalia; Primates; Hominidae.
UUAAUUUUUGUAUAAGGUGUAAGGAAGGGAUCCAGUUUCCACUUUCUGCAUAUGGCUAGCCAGUUUUCCCAACACCAUUUAUUAAAUAAGGAAUCCUUUCCCCAUUCCUUGUUUUUGUCCAGAAUGUUUUUAGGACAGAGACAGGCAGCUCAUAUACGAAGAAAUAUGUAUGGCUUUUAAAAAAUGAUGAUUUCUUUGAAAACCCACUGAUUUCAAAGAAGCUUAAAGAAUAUUUAUCUCAGAUCUAUUGAGAUCUUAGUUAAUCUCUUCAGUAUUGGGAAGGUCUGUAAGAAAAAGAUCUUCCAGCUAUGUUAAUAGAGAUUCUUUACAGAUGCAGAUUUUUCCCCACAAAGAACGGCUUUGCAGGGCGAAUGUAAAUCAGUUUCCCAUGCCAAGAGUCUGGCAUGGGAGCUAGUAACACCAAAACCAAGGGGCCAGGAGCUCUCGGUCAUAUCUGUCAUGGCGAUGUCAGUGCUUUGCUCCCCAGAUGGUUGGGGUCAUAGCUUUAAGCAUUCUCUCCUGCAAAGUCUAGAGCUAGAUCUUCAGGCCUCACAAUGAUUCAAGAGCUACCCACUGUCCUUUCAGAAAACUUUUCUGCUUCAUUCAGCCAGAAUUAGCUUCUCUUGCUUAUGAUGAUACCUAUUUUAACUCUGGAGGUGGGGACUGGUGGGAGGUAAUCGGAUCACGGGGGCAGUUUCUCAUGAAUGAUUUAGCACCAUCCCACGAGUACUGUAUAGUGAUAGAGUUCUCAUGAGAUCUGGUUGCUUAAAGGUGUGUAGCACCUCCCUCUCUCUCUCUCACCCCUGAUGGGCUGCCUUGAUAUAUAGAGUUCAUUUGGCCUUACUGAGCACAUCCCAUGAGAUGGAACAUGAACUAUACUUGUUGCCAACAAGAGGCUGACUCAAACUUCCCUCAUGUUUGCCCCUUUUCCCUCACUUCUGUUUCCCUGGGAAUGUAACUCCCAAAACAGAUAGCAGCACAUAAGCCUUUCCUUUAGGCUCUGGCUUCUACGGGUGCAAAAGCGUCUCAUUGCAGAUGCAAAGUAUUCUUAUUAGAGCCUUUGCCUGGUCUCUAUGACAAGCUUCAAUUAUUUUUCCUAGAAAACUAGUAAUAGAUCUCAUGCCAAUUUGUAAGACUGCAUUUGCCAUAACUGUCGUUCAUACUAAAAAUUUCUUUUCUACUAUCUUUAGUUUUGUCUUAUGUGCAAAGAAAGAAUUAUUCAUUGGGGUUCAGGUUGUGAGAGUGAGGAGUAGAUGAAUGAACUGGUCAGCUCUCUCAAAUUCAGUG